UACGUAGGGUGCAAGCGUUGUCCGGAAUUAUUGGGCGUAAAGAGCUCGUAGGCGGUUUGUCGCGUCUGCUGUGAAAACCCGAGGCUCAACCUCGGGCCUGCAGUGGGUACGGGCAGACUAGAGUGCGGUAGGGGAGAUUGGAAUUCCUGGUGUAGCGGUGGAAUGCGCAGAUAUCAGGAGGAACACCAGUAGCGAAGGCGGGACUCUGGGCCGGAACUGACGCUGAGGAGCGAAAGCAUGGGGAGCGAACAGG
Molecule: ribosomal RNA, 253 nt
Filed under: uncultured bacterium
Lineage: Bacteria
Description: partial 16S ribosomal RNA
Rfam family: Bacterial small subunit ribosomal RNA
Source: RNAcentral